Molecule: ribosomal RNA, 533 nt
Filed under: Pseudomonas sp. So8
Lineage: Bacteria; Pseudomonadati; Pseudomonadota; Gammaproteobacteria; Pseudomonadales; Pseudomonadaceae
Description: bacterial SSU rRNA
Rfam family: Bacterial small subunit ribosomal RNA
Source: RNAcentral
GAGAGAAGCUUGCUUCUCUUGAGAGCGGCGGACGGGUGAGUAAUGCCUAGGAAUCUGCCUGGUAGUGGGGGAUAACGUUCGGAAACGGACGCUAAUACCGCAUACGUCCUACGGGAGAAAGCAGGGGACCUUCGGGCCUUGCGCUAUCAGAUGAGCCUAGGUCGGAUUAGCUAGUUGGUGGGGUAAUGGCUCACCAAGGCGACGAUCCGUAACUGGUCUGAGAGGAUGAUCAGUCACACUGGAACUGAGACACGGUCCAGACUCCUACGGGAGGCAGCAGUGGGGAAUAUUGGACAAUGGGCGAAAGCCUGAUCCAGCCAUGCCGCGUGUGUGAAGAAGGUCUUCGGAUUGUAAAGCACUUUAAGUUGGGAGGAAGGGCCAUUACCUAAUACGUGAUGGUUUUGACGUUACCGACAGAAUAAGCACCGGCUAACUCUGUGCCAGCAGCCGCGGUAAUACAGAGGGUGCAAGCGUUAAUCGGAAUUACUGGGCGUAAAGCGCGCGUAGGUGGUUUGUUAAGUUGGAUGUGAAAU